GACAGAGGUUGCAAACGUUGUUCGGAAUUACUGGGCAUAAAGCGCACGUAGGCGGUUCGUUAAGUCAUGUGUGAAAUCCCUCGGCUCAACCGAGGAAUUGCGCCUGAUACUGGCGGGCUAGAGAUCGAUAGGGGUGAGUGGAACUCCAGGUGGAGCGGUGAAAUGCGUAGAUAUCUGGAGGAACACCGGUGGCGAAAGCAGCUCACUGGAUCGAUACUGACGCUGAGGUGCGAAAGCUAGGGUAGCAAACGGG
Molecule: ribosomal RNA, 253 nt
Filed under: uncultured bacterium
Lineage: Bacteria
Description: partial 16S ribosomal RNA
Rfam family: Bacterial small subunit ribosomal RNA
Source: RNAcentral